CAGUCGCCGCGGGAACACGUAGGGAGCAAGCGUUGUUCGGAUUUACUGGGCGUAAAGGGCGCGUAGGCGGCGCGGUAAGUCACUUGUGAAAUCUCUGAGCUUAACUCAGAACGGCCAAGUGAUACUGCUGUGCUAGAGUGCGGAAGAGGCAACCGGAAUUCUUGGUGUAGCGGUGAAAUGCGUAGAUAUCAAGAGGAACACCUGAGGCGAAGGCGGGUUGCUGGGCCGACACUGACGCUGAUGCGCGAAAGCCAGGGGAGCAAACGGGAUUAGAUACCCCUGUAGUCCCUGUCUCUUAUAC
RNAcentral lists this ribosomal RNA (301 nucleotides) under uncultured bacterium. RNAcentral describes it as "partial 16S ribosomal RNA". It matches the Rfam family "Bacterial small subunit ribosomal RNA", at positions 509 to 807 of the family's 1533-position model. The record is from RNAcentral.